This 244-nucleotide ribosomal RNA is filed under the name uncultured bacterium. RNAcentral's name for it is "partial 16S ribosomal RNA". It matches the Rfam family "Bacterial small subunit ribosomal RNA", at positions 524 to 765 of the family's 1533-position model. The record is from RNAcentral.
UACGUAGGUGGCAAGCGUUGUCCGGAAUUAUUGGGCGUAAAAGCGCGCGCAGGCGGUCCUUUUAAGUCUGAUGUGAAAGCCCACGGCUCAACCGUGGAGGGUCAUUGGAAACUGGGGGACUUGAGUGCAGGAGAGAAGAGUGGAAUUCCACGUGUAGCGGUGAAAUGCGUAGAGAUGUGGAGGAACACCAGUGGCGAAGGCGACUCUUUGGCCUGUAACUGACGCUGAGGCGCGAAAGCGUGGG